UACGUAGGGUGCGAGCGUUGUCCGGAAUUAUUGGGCGUAAAGGGCUCGUAGGCGGUCUGUUGCGUCGGGAGUGAAAACUCAGGGCUUAACCCUGAGCCUGCUUCCGAUACGGGCAGACUAGAGGUAUGCAGGGGAGGACGGAAUUCCUGGUGUAGCGGUGAAAUGCGCAGAUAUCAGGAGGAACACCGGUGGCGAAGGCGGUUCUCUGGGCAUUACCUGACGCUGAGGAGCGAAAGUGUGGGGAGCGAACAGG
Molecule: ribosomal RNA, 253 nt
Filed under: uncultured bacterium
Lineage: Bacteria
Description: partial 16S ribosomal RNA
Rfam family: Bacterial small subunit ribosomal RNA
Source: RNAcentral